RNAcentral lists this ribosomal RNA (372 nucleotides) under uncultured bacterium. RNAcentral describes it as "bacterial SSU rRNA". It matches the Rfam family "Bacterial small subunit ribosomal RNA", at positions 886 to 1259 of the family's 1533-position model. The record is from RNAcentral.
CCGCAAGGUUGAAANUCAAAGGAAUUGACGGGGGCCCGCACAAGCGGUGGAGCAUGUGGUUUAAUUNGAAGCAACGCGAAGAACCUUNCCAGGUCUUGACAUCCCGAUGCCCGCUCUAGAGAUAGAGUUUUUCUUCGGAACAUCGGAGACAGGUGGUGCAUGGUUGUCGUCAGCUCGUGUCGUGAGAUGUUGGGUUAAGUCCCGCAACGAGCGCAACCCUUAUUGUUAGUUGCCAUCAUUAAGUUGGGCACUCUAGCGAGACUGCCGGUAAUAAACCGGAGGAAGGUGGGGAUGACGCCAAAUCAUCAUGCCCCUUAUGACCUGGGCUACACACGUGCUACAAUGGUUGGUACAACGAGUCGCAAGCCGGNG